GGAUCAGUAGGUUGGUCGUGCCACCGGUACGUACUGGUCUCACUGAUUCCUCCUUCCUGAAGAACCGUAAUGCCAUUAAUUUGGUGUUGCGGGGAAACAGGACUGUUACUUUGAAAAAAUUAGAGUGUUCAAAGCAAGCUAACGCUUGAAUACAUUAGCAUUGAAUAAUGAAAUAGGACGAUCGAUCCUAUUUUGUUGGUUUCUAGGAUUGACGUA
RNAcentral lists this ribosomal RNA (216 nucleotides) under Glomeromycotina sp. RNAcentral's name for it is "partial small subunit ribosomal RNA". The stretch from base 40 to 216 matches the Rfam family "Eukaryotic small subunit ribosomal RNA", at positions 686 to 864 of the family's 1831-position model. Lineage: Eukaryota; Fungi; Glomeromycota. The record is from RNAcentral.